CGGGUGAGUAACGCGUGGGAACGUACCAUUUGCUACGGAAUAACUCAGGGAAACUUGUGCUAAUACCGUAUGUGCCCUUCGGGGGAAAGAUUUAUCGGCAAAUGAUCGGCCCGCGUUGGAUUAGCUAGUUGGUGGGGUAAAGGCUCACCAAGGCGACGAUCCAUAGCUGGUCUGAGAGGAUGAUCAGCCACACUGGGACUGAGACACGGCCCAGACUCCUACGGGAGGCAGCAGUGGGGAAUAUUGGACAAUGGGCGCAAGCCUGAUCCAGCCAUGCCGCGUGAGUGAUGAAGGCCCUAGGGUUGUAAAGCUCUUUCACCGGUGAAGAUAAUGACGGUAACCGGAGAAGAAGCCCCGGCUAACUUCGUGCCAGCAGCCGCGGUAAUACGAAGGGGGGCUAGCGUUGUUUCGGAU
RNAcentral lists this ribosomal RNA (414 nucleotides) under Brucella melitensis. RNAcentral's name for it is "bacterial SSU rRNA". It matches the Rfam family "Bacterial small subunit ribosomal RNA", at positions 103 to 551 of the family's 1533-position model. The record is from RNAcentral. Lineage: Bacteria; Pseudomonadati; Pseudomonadota; Alphaproteobacteria; Hyphomicrobiales; Brucellaceae.